CGGAAACGGGGAUUAAUACUCCAUGUUAUUUAUCAAUGGCCUCAUUGAUAAAUAAAAGCUACGGCGGUUUUAGAUGGCCAUGCGUACCAUUAGUUAGUUGGUAAGGUAACGGCUUACCAAGGCGAUGAUGGUUAGGGGUCCUGAGAGGGUAAACCCCCACACUGGUACUGAGACACGGACCAGACUUCUACGGAAGGCAGCAGUGAGGAAUAUUGGUCAAUGGGCGCAAGCCUGAACCAGCCAUGCCGCGUGCAGGAAGACGGCCCUACGGGUUGUAAACUGCUUUUCUGUGGGAAGAAUUCCUACCUAUAUAGGUGGGUUGACGGUACCACAGGAAUAAGCAUCGGCUAACUCCGUGCCAGCAGCCGCGGUAAUACGGAGGAUGCAAGCGUUAUCCGGAUUUAUUGGGUUUAAAGGGUGCGCAGGCGGUGGAACAAGUCAGUGGUGAAAGCCCGGGGCUUAACUUCGGGAUUGCCAUUGAAACUGUUUCACUUGAGUGUAGUUGAGGACGGCGGAAUGAGUUGUGUAGCGGUGAAAUGCAUAGAUAUAACUCAGAACACCAAUUGCGAAGGCAGCUGUCUAGACUACAACUGACGCUGAGGCACGAAAGCGUGGGUAGCGAACAGGAUUAGAUACCCUGGUAGUCCACGCUGUAAACGAUGAUCACUCGUUGUUGGCUACUUAGUAGUCAGUGACUAAGGGAAACCGAUAAGUGAUCCACCUGGGGAGUACGUCGGCAACGAUGAAACUCAAAGGAAUUGACGGGGGCCCGCACAAGCGGAGGAACAUGUGGUUUAAUUCGAUGAUACGCGAGGAACCUUACCUGGGCUUAAAUGCUGGCUGCAUUCACGCGAAAGCGUGAUUUCCUACGGGACCGCCAGCAAGGUGCUGCAUGGUUGUCGUCAGCUCGUGCCGUGAGGUGUCGGGUUAAGUCCCAUAACGAGCGCAACCCCUAUCGUUAGUUGCCAGCAUGUAAUGGUGGGGACUCUAACGAGACUGCCGGUGUAAACCGGAGGAAGGUGGGGAUGACGUCAAAUCAGCACGGCCCUUACGUCCAGGGCUACACACGUGUUACAAUGGCCGGUACAAAGAGCAGCCACCUGGCGACAGG
Molecule: ribosomal RNA, 1111 nt
Filed under: uncultured organism
Description: bacterial SSU rRNA
Rfam family: Bacterial small subunit ribosomal RNA
Source: RNAcentral